AGAGCACCACUCAUCAAACCAUGCUGUGGUGGCCUCCCAUGUAGAAGAACUAGAAUGACACAACUAGGAUAUACAAGUAUGUAGUGGGGCUUUGGGGAGGAAAAAAAAAAAGAGGAAGAUUGGCAACAGAUGUUAGCUCAGAGCCAAUCUUCCUCAUCAAAAAAAAAAAAAAAAAAGAAAGAAAGAGGGAAGAGGUUGGGGGCAGGUGGGAAGUGGGGAGGGCAGAGGCCUUGGGCAAGGAACAACCUACCCUCUGUAGAUGGAGUCUGUAGGCUCGGUGAGGGCAGAGACCGUGUCUGUCUGGUUCAUGGCUGCGUCUCCAGCAUCUAGCACAGAGCUUGCCACCCAGAAGGUUCUCUGGGAAUAGCUGUUGGGUGAAUGAAUGAACCAGACAGUGCUAAAGUAGCCCAGGGAUCUUGCCGGGCCUCUAUGACUGUGGAUCACAGGACGCUCUGAGCAGGCCUUGGACCUGGAGUAAAGUCCUUUUGGUCCCUCUCAGGGAGUAGAGAGAGAAUGACACUUGGCUAAUGAACAGGGGAAGCAAGUAUCUGACCGUCUGGCCACCACUCUCCAUUCCAAGCUCUCAGCAGACAUCAACAAUAAUCGAUGCAGGCGCUCCUUCCCGGCAAGAAGGCCAGCAGACAUCAACAAUCGAUGCAGGCGCUCCUUCCCGGCAAGAAGGCCAGCAGACAUCAACAAUCGAUGCAGGUGCUCCUUCCCGGCAAGAAGGCCAGCAGACAUCAACAAUCGAUGCAGGUGCUCCUUCCGGGCAAGAAGGCCAGCAGACAUCCACAGUUGGUGCAGGCGCUCCCUCCCGGGGAGGAGCAUGGAUGGGGUCCCCGAGCUCUCAAUACAGCUCUUGGAGCCACGGCCAAUUUAUCACAAAUGGCGGCUGAGAAGAAAUGUAUUGGUCAACCCUGGACAAUGGAUGUGAAAGACAAGAGUUGGGGAGAGAAAUUAUGGCCAGAGGUUAUAGCUGGAAAUCUGCUGUGCAUUUGGCUUUUUGCUUAUUCACCUUCCCUUAGGUUCUCGAGGCCUUGGCUCGCCCACGAGGACAGAGGGAACUAGGUCAGUGUUCCACUCCAUGCUGCAGAGCUUCCAGAGCUCAGAAAGUGUUUCACUUUCUCUCUCUCUUCCAUUCAUUCAGUCAUUCAACAAGUGUUUGUUGAGUGCACUGUUGUGGAAGGAAGACACAGUUCCUGCCCUUUGAGACUCAGAGCCUAUCGGAGAGACAGACCUUAUCAAAAGAUCACCCCAGCACUUCAAAAUGCAAUUUUUGAUGCCUAAUGAGAAGGAGAGGUUUGCUGGCUGAUGAAACUCAGGCAGGUGUUCACCGAGUUGGGACUUUUAAAUGAGUAGGAAUUAACUGGGUGAAGAGAGGAGAGGAAAGCAUUCUAGCCACAGGGGAUGGCAUGUGCAAAUGCCCGGUGGCAGCAGAGAACUGGAUAAGCACAAAAGAACGAGGGAUACUGGCUAGCUGUUCACUAAACCCAUUUCCUCUUAUUUCCAGGAACUCCGCUAGAUUACAUUUCUUAGAAGUUCUCAUAUCACUUGUGAUCCUGUCACCCAGAGCAGGGCAGAGACACAGGUGAGAAGGAGCGUGGGUGCCUGAAUGACGACACAGAACAGAGUCUGGGUCCCCAGUGACCUCCACUGGACUGUACAUGGGACUCAAGAGCCACAGGCACUGGACGGAGCUGAGAGAGCACAUUUCCACCACCACAGAGAGUUCUGCUGGACACGCUGGUCUAAGGGGGUCAUCGGAAAUCCAGCCACAAGGCAAAGGAUUCUGGGCCAGUUGGCAGGUCCCUUGAACAGAGGUGCGGUGGACGCGGAAGCCACGGGAUGGUGGACGGAGAAGCGGUGAGCGCCCAUCGGCAUGGAGACAGAGGGAGAGAACGGUAUCACCUCUUGGACUGACAGAUAGGUGCCCACACAGAGAAUAUCCAUAUUCUCUGUCAGUCCUACAAUGAAAGAGAGAGAGAGAAAUCAUCAUCAUCACCAUCAUCAUCAUCAUAAUCCAUGUGGCUGACAUUUAUCAAAGGCUCACCACGUGCCAGGCACUAUUCACAGUGCUGCACUCCCGCCAUCUUGUGUAACCCUCACACCUACCCCUUGAGGUCGGUGUGACCAUUGACCCUGUGCCAGGUGGGCACAGAGCCAUUCAAGGACUCACCCAAAGUCCCACAGCCCCCAGGGUAUGGCCGAGCUCGGAUGAACAUAAGUAGCCCGGCUGUGGGAUCCAUGGCCUUAACUGCAAACAACAGGGGUCCCCCUUGGCCCUUGGCGGGUGUGGCAGAUGUGCAUAGGGCCCCCCUCAGCCCAUACCCACCAGGAGGGUCAAGACAGCCAUGCCUGUCCUCAUGACCUCAUCUCCAAGGUCACAGCCAACUGCACAAGGCUGGUUCCUUGGCUGACGUCAGCAUUGGUCUGUCGUGAGAAUCUGUUGUCUUGGCCAAGAUAGUGGGAAGACAAGAAGUGACUCCCCCCAUCCGCUCAUGGAGGUAAGGACUCGGAGCGGGCUGGACGGUGACUUUCACGCCAGCCUGAUUUCUCACACUUCCUCUCUAUCACCUGGCAUUGGAAUUGAGUUUGCUUCAGGCUCAGCCAUUUGUCAGCUGUGUGUCCUCGGGCAAGUGGAUGAGUUUCUCUGAGCUCUGGUUCUACACACUUGGAAGAUGAGGACGAGAACAGGACCCAGCCCUGGGAGCUUUGAGACUCGAAGGUCCCAGCACGGAUGGAGGGCCCAGGAAAUUGGAGCUGCCCCAGUGAUGAAGAGGACUCGGGUGACUCAGGUGGCAGCCUGGCCCUCCCCGGGCCCUAGAAGGUUCCACGUGGGACUUACGGACUGGAGACCCUUCCCUGGUCCCUCCCAGCUGGUCCACCAGGCCCUUCCAAACCACUUCAACCCGCAGAUUCCUCAUCCUCCGUGCAUAAGGCUGGUAUUGUUAACGGUGGAAAGAGGCAGUGUAGGUUGGGGGCUGAACGAGGAGGGAGGCAGGGUUAUGGGUUCGAAUCCCUCCUCUUAACUGUGAUGUCUGAGGCCAGUCACUUCUCUCUGAGCUUUAGUUUCCUUUAUUUUUUUUUUUUGAGGAAGAUUGGCCCUGAGAUAACAUCCGUGCCCAUCUUCCUCUAUUUUAUGUGGGACACCUACCACAGCAUGGUGUGACUGAUAUGGAACCUGAAGUGAGUUUGCUCACCCGUUGCACAGCAAGCCAAUCUCUGACACCGGGUGUGGUGGAAGAAAGUAGGAACUUUAUUUUUGCACAGCACUGAGCAAGGAGAGAGGGCAGCUAACGCUGAAAUCCCAAACUCCCCGAAAAAGCUAAAAGGAAGGGUUUUUAUUUGAGGCUUUAGGUGGGGGGGGGGGGAGCAUAUGGCCUUGCUGGUCAGAAGCUUUCCCACCAGUCUGUAUCUCUUUGUGGGGAGGAGAUAGUCCAGGUGCUGGUCCUUGACAGUGUCUGUCUCCAUGGAGGAUAGUGGAUUCUGGAGCCAGGAAGCCAGAGAGUAAGCAGGGAAUGAGUGUUUGGGUUUUAACCCCAUAUAUGCUGGGUUUAAUGUGGGGAAACUGAUAUCAGGGUCGAUAUCAACUCCCCCCUAUUUUAUGUCCGUUCCUCAAUCUUGAGGGAUUUGGGAUGGUGACCGAUCUAGCUACUUCCUGCUGAAAUGGGGCAUAGGUCGUUUCAUCUCAUUGAACCAGUCUUUUAAUAAGGCGGUGAUGCUGGUGGGCUCCUGAAGUUAGGCCUGUAUCAUGUAAGUAAGUAACCAGGUAUUUAAUAAGAAGUUUUUCUGUAGAAACAAAAAGAGAAAAACAAAGUUAACAGUUGGAGCAAAUUAUAAACCAGUUUCUGAGCCCACGGGGCAGCCAAUCAAGAUUCCUAGAAGUCAGGGUCGAAGCAUCUUUUGCAGUUUGAAAUGUCUCUGAUGGUGUCAUUGGGCACUCAGGUAGCUUUCUGAGUGGCUUACACAGCAACAGACAUGAAUCUCUCUUAAGUUUAUAUUGGGUCCUCCAGCUUCAGUUUGCAAGGCUUCAGGAAAAAGGGCAGAUUUAGUUUUCAAUGACUCCAAAUGAAAAUGAUGGGGGGAAAAAGCCCUGAAAAUGUUAGUUUGGAGGUUUGUAGCCAGAUAGUUCAUGAGACUAGAAGAAUUCAGGAUCCAGCCCAGUUAACAGAUGUAACAAAAAUCUUAAAGACAAUUGACACAACCAAAAUCCAGUAUCCACAAAUGUGUAUUAUAGUUUCUAUUGAAACACCAUCUUUCUCUCUAAAAUCACCCUCAUUUUUAUAAAGAUAGCUAAAUUAAGACUAACUGGUUUGCAAAAUCAGUCUAGUUUUAACAAAUUUGUGCAUAAGUACAGCAAGAAUAGUAAUUGAUUACAUAGGCUCUUUUAAAUCUGCUUUGCUGGAACCUUAUAAGGAAUCUCAGGUUGAACUUUAAAGGCCUCUCUAGCCCAGGAAAGCCAGACUAAGAGCUUGUCAUCAGAUUCCACCUGCAAUACCCAAAGAUUUGGGUGACUUCCUCUCUUCAUGAGGUCCCCGAAAUAUUGGGGUUCCUUGUACCUGCCAGAGGGAGCGACAUUCUUUGCUCAACCUUACCAGGUUACUGAACCCAUAAGCACAGUACCAGGCCAAUAUUUCCAAGUGGCUUUAUUCCAGAAAGUCAACCUUGGUUCCUCAAAAGCUGUCUCAUCAUAUCCGAGCUUGUGUGUUUUUCUCAAAUAUGAUGUCCCAGUCAAAGCCUUGGUGUUAUAACGAGUGUUUCCAAUUGUGUCCUGUUAUAAGAAAACAGAUUCUUAUCGGACUUAUGCAAACAACCAUAUUGCCGUGAGAAUAAGAAUACUUACUCAUCAUGAGUUUUUAUGUUUUGGAGGGGUCAGAUAGGGAGAAAAAGAUGAAUGAUUCAAUUUUGUUUACAUUUGUUAUAAAUCAUAGUUCUUAAGAGAAUAGAGAAAAAGGUUUUCUUAAAACUGGAAAAAAACAAAACAUCAAAAAUCAGCAAUAUCUCAAUGAAAAAGCCAUAAAAAUUAUAAUCAUCCCUAUGUGUAAUUGGUUCUUGACUUAAUCUUGUGUCAGCAGUUUGCGAGGUCAUCAGUUCCUCUGUUAGGGUUCUGUAAUUUCUACCCAGUUUAGUUUUACAGUCCAAACGUUUAUCAGAACCUGCACUCUAGAGUAAGCGCCAGGGUCCUCUCCAUGAAUUUCUCUAAAGGUGAAACACAUUUGCAAAAACGUCAAAUAGCUGUCUGCAAACAACAAAACAUCCAAAAGUGGCAAUUGACAAAGACAUCUGACCAUGUCUGUGACAUAUAAUACUUUGAGAUAAUAACCAGAAUUAUGGCUGACAAUCAGAACAGAUCAGAAUUUUAGAUAAUUGUUUAAAUACUUGUAUCAAUAACACUCACUCACAUAAUACCAUUUAAGAAAGUUUAUUAUUACUUUAUUUGACAAUGCUUCCCAUAUAGUCUAAUACGUCAAACAAGCCUAAUUAGUUUAGCAUUUUUUUCUUAUAGAAAGAGAGCAAAUAUUUCUGAGAAGUCCCAGGGGCCCUCUGAAAAUCCCCAGAGAAACUCUCCCUCCUAUUCCAGGUCAAAAGAAAGCUUUUAUUCAGGACUUGAAUAUUUUUUUGGUGGGGGGGGAAGAUUGUCAAAAAUAUUAAAAGCUUUAAAAUAUUUGUUCAGAUAGGAAACAAAACUCACUGGGAAACCAUGUUCAGGUAUCUAUUCAAAGUGACAACAGAAACAGUCAAGGGGAAACAGUGUUACAAUAGUGAAAAAAACCCCUUUUAAUAAUCUUUUUAUCAAAAGCAGAUUAAAAGUUUAGGAAAAUUAUCCUUUUAAGAAAGGGGAAACCAAGUUUUAAUUUUGUACCAGUUGACUUUUGACAUAUAAGUUUAUUUACUUAAUUGGAUUCAUUUUAGUCUUAGCCAACUUGACCAUGCACAAAAUUCCACAGGGUUUCACUUUCACAAACCUUUCGUUACUUUCUUUACAUUCGGAAUUUGUCCCAGUACUUUAGGACAAAUUAUCUUUCUGAACUCAAGAAACAAAAAUAUUUUCAUUUUUUAUAUUUUUAUACUGAAAACAUAUAUUUUAACUUCCUUGUAUACAGACCUUUUAGAAAUAUGUUUUCUCAUAGAAAAUGCCUCAGCAUACAUAAAACGUUUAUCAAUAAACCUAAGCACUUUUCAGUUUCUUUGAUAUAAGAAACCAAAGGCAGACAAAUCUAUGCUUAGUAGUUAACCUUUAAUAUUUUAUCUUAUGUGGAAAUGACCUAGAUACCCAAUAAACUGCUAUUAUUUAACUUAACUUAGUAAAGCUAUAAAGUUGAAGUUUCCAAAAAGAUUUUUGGAAGCUGUUUUUUAAGUAUGUAGUCUCUAAAACAUAAUUAUUGUACUUCAAACUCUUACCCAGUUUUAACAAUUAUGUUUAAAUUACUCUUAAAAACUUCAUGUGACAUGACAGCAUUAACCAUCAUCUUCAGUUGUUUUAAGCAUAUACAUCAUAAUACAUAUAAUUAUUAUUAAAAAGUUUUUCCAAAAACUUUUAUCCUUUUAUAUUUAUUUAGUUUAUCUGUCUUUAACAAUUAUAUUUAGAUCAUGUACAAGAACCUCAUGAGACAUUAAACAAAAUUAGCUAUUAUACUGAGUCGUUAGUUUUGCUGAUAAAUUUCGUGGCAGAGAUGACAUGAGCUCAUUUGACCAGUAAACCCAGGCUGUGUGUCUGCAUCAUAGCCAACGCGGGUAAAUCUGAGAACGUGUCUAUUUUAAAUCAAACCAGCAAACUUCAACAGGCUUUUAUUCAUCAAAGAUCAUUUUAUAUCAUGUUAAAUAACUUGGUCUUUUAGAAGUUUUGACUUGUUAAUCCAAGACUGCAUUCCAUUAUGAGAGUUUUUGAAUUCUCUCUUUUCUGAAACAGGUUUUCAGAAUGACCAUUACAAUUCCACAUUAUCUCAAAAGUUGAUUUCUUUUUACUUGUUCAAUUUUAGAUCAGGAAUUUCGGGGGAGUUGAAGCGAAGCUCAGCUUGCUGGGAAGGUCAGCAAGAGAGAAGAGAAAAGCCCCAGAUUUGGGUUUGGCUGCUGGCAUGUUUCUUUCUUUAAUUAUUUUCUCUUAAAGAGGCAGUAAAGUAUUUCUGAUUUUAUUUAGAAGCCUCAAAAGAUGAAAACAGGCUUCCUGUCGUAGCUGGCUUUUCCAAUUGCAGACAUCAGUUUGGGUAAACUGAAAUUGGCCCAUUUUGGCCAUUUUAAAGUGGGCUCUCCUUUAGCAUGUUUAAUUAACAUAGCCUGAAAGGUAGAUUUCUAUGUUCUUACAAUACCAGGCAGGAAAAAUGUUCCCCAGUGAGACAUAAUGUUUAUCCCCGUAACGUAAUUUACAAUACAAUCAGACAAAAGAGAUGCAAUCAUUUUACAUAAAGCCCAUUUAAAUAUACUAAUUUCUACAAAUUUUCAUCUUAAUUUUUCAACUCUUAUACCCCUAAUUAUAACUUAUAUUAGAAUUCCAUUCACAAGCUUUGGGAUGACAAUAUUAUGUAGGGAAAGCAUUCCCAGUUAGACAUAACAUUUAUUCCCCCUAAAAAAUCCAGGCAAAGUUGGCACAACCUCUUCAUCUAAUAUUAGUUUAAACACUUUAAUUUUUACAGUCUUAUCAACCUUGGUAGCCUAACUGUUGCCCCAAACAGUUGCUGGUGAGGUUUCUCACUCUGAUUUCUGCCUCCUGAACUUUUAAAAUUUUUCAAACUGGGGUGAAUAGGACAGGUUUGUCCUUUAAUGUUGGGGGGCCAACAGAGGGGUCCCUUUAGCCCGUCCGACCUUAAGCGGUGUUUUAUUAAAACCUUUGGUUUAGUUUUAUUUAUGUCUGUUCCAUUUAUCCCAUUUUUUAAAAU
This 7874-nucleotide long non-coding RNA is filed under the name Equus asinus (donkey). RNAcentral describes it as "lncRNA (ENSEASG00005037495.1)". The record is from RNAcentral. Lineage: Eukaryota; Metazoa; Chordata; Mammalia; Perissodactyla; Equidae.